UGGUGGAGUGAUCUGUCUGCUUAAUUGCGAUAACGAACGAGACCUUAACCUGCUAAAUAGCCAGGCAAGCUUCGGCUUGUUGCCGGCUUCUUAGAGGGACUAUCGGCUCAAGCCGAUGGAAGUUUGAGGCAAUAACA
This 137-nucleotide ribosomal RNA is filed under the name uncultured eukaryote. RNAcentral's name for it is "partial 18S ribosomal RNA". It matches the Rfam family "Eukaryotic small subunit ribosomal RNA", at positions 1299 to 1458 of the family's 1831-position model. The record is from RNAcentral.